AUAAUCAAAUAAAAUUACGGUUAUUUUUUCAUGUUUUCAUAUCAGAUUUUAGGUCAAAAUUUGGGUAUGUUUAAGGUAUUAAAUUAUUCUCAAGUAUUUUUUUUUGGAUUUCUCAUAUUUUUUGGUCUUCGAAUUCUUUUCGGAUUCUAAAAGUCCAAACCGAUCCGAAACCUGUAAGAACCAAAAAAAUUAUUUUUACACGUCGCCACUAAAAAAUAACAAAUAAAAAUUAUUAAAACCCUAAACUUUAAGCCGUAAACUCAAAAUCAUGGAGAGCAAACUUUAAACCAUAAAUAAUAAAACUCUAAACCCUAAACCGUAAAUCCUAAAACUUAAGAGGUGAACCAUAAACCUUAAACCUUAAGUUGUAAAAUACCCAAAACUUUACCCAAAUACCUAAAUUAUAUUUUUGAAAAUAUAAAAUUUUAUCCAAAAAAUAAUCCAAGAUACAAAAAUCAUAAAC
RNAcentral lists this long non-coding RNA (463 nucleotides) under Brassica napus (rape). RNAcentral describes it as "long non-coding RNA (BNAP_LNC012114)". The record is from RNAcentral. Lineage: Eukaryota; Viridiplantae; Streptophyta; Magnoliopsida; Brassicales; Brassicaceae.